RNAcentral lists this long non-coding RNA (1164 nucleotides) under Spirodela polyrhiza (greater duckweed). RNAcentral describes it as "long non-coding RNA (SPOL_LNC000345)". The record is from RNAcentral. Lineage: Eukaryota; Viridiplantae; Streptophyta; Magnoliopsida; Alismatales; Araceae.
AGCUGGAAGCGUUGCUGCUCACACAUCCGGACAUCCUCGACUCCGCCGUCAUACCGUAAGUGGCGAUCCCCUUCCUGCUCCUCUCGUGGGCCAUUGCCGCGCUCGACGCUGAGAUGCCUCCUGCGCGCUGAUCUUGCUGCAGGUUCCCUGACAAGGAGGUUGGUCAGUUCCCAAUGGCGUACGUCGUGAGGAAGGAAGGGAGCCGCCUGACGGAGGCCGAGGUGAUGGACUUCGUCGCCGGGAAGGUGGCGCCGUACAAGAGAAUCCGGAGAGUUGCCUUCGUGCCCGCCGUCCCAAAGAACCCCUCCGGCAAAAUACUGAGGAAGGAUCUGAUCAAGCUCGCCACCUCCAAGAUCUGAACGACGAAAUCUGUCCAUUCGUCGGGUCAUCUUCAAUGAGUGAUCGGUGUGUCGUCCCAAUUUUCUUGCAUCGUUCAUAGAGUGAUUCAACAAUAAAAAAAAAAAUUCUUGCCUGCGUGGGGACAAUGUGUUGCGCCCGCAAGGACCAUACCGGUAGGCGGCAUCGAGAAUGCCUGCCGCCUCUCUGUCGCAAGGUCCAAACUCAUUAAAGAUGAGGCCCACAGGAUAAGGGUUCAUAACCACUAAGAUGAGACGAUGGGCCGGGAAUAUCUUCUCUUUUGACUUUCUCACAGAUCACAGGACAGAGAAGAAGACCCCAAAAGGAUAUACUCAUUCGUUCCUCUUCCAAAAUGGGCCCAACGCAGAAAUUCGUAAGAUCACGUCCUCUAAGCCGAACACUGGGCUCAAUUCGUGGAGCCUAGUCCUACGAUUACAGAUUUUUAUUUACCGGGUUUUAUCGAUCCCACGUCGUACCGUGCUGCCGCGUUGUUGGCCGACUUAUCCGCGCCUGUAUCAAAUCUUCAAUUUCGGAGUAGACUACGCGUGAGCCGAGCAUGAACGUUCGACUUUCCUAGCGUAUCUAUUCUGUCGCGCUGGUGUAUUUGUGACUGGGAAUCGGAAAGAUGUCGGACCCGAUGAGAGAUGGAAGGGGCCCCCAAGCUCUCGCCAGGUCUCCACUGGGAGACAGCUACCACACUGCAAGUGCAACGCAAAUCUGACCGGCUCCUCACGCUCCCUGUUUGCAGCUGGAACCCUUCUGGCCCAGCAGUGACAGCCGAAGAACAACAAGUCGUAGACAGUUGCG